CUACGGGGGGCUCCAGGUGAGAAUCUUUUGCAAUGCGCGAAAGCGUGACAAAGCGAACCAGAGUGCUUCCUUCGGGAAGCUUUUGUUUUGUGUAAAAAGCAUGACGAAUAAGGACUGGGCAAGACCGGUGCCAGCCGCCGCGGUAAUACCGGCGGUCCAAGUAGCAAUCACUUUUAUUGGGUCUAAAACAUCCGUAGCUGGUUAAGCAAGUUCCUUGUGAAAUCUCUUCUCUCAAGGGAGAGGCGCGCUUGGAAAACUGCUUGGCUUGAGACCGGGAGAUGUAAGGAGUACUGUUAUGGUAGUGGUUAAAUAUUUUAAUCAUAGCAGGACUAACAAUGGCGAAGGCACCUUACAAGAACGGUUCUGACGGUGAGGGAUGAAGGCCAGGGGCGCAAAACGGAUUAGAUACCCCUGUAGUC
RNAcentral lists this ribosomal RNA (419 nucleotides) under uncultured archaeon. Its description in RNAcentral is "partial 16S ribosomal RNA". It matches the Rfam family "Archaeal small subunit ribosomal RNA", at positions 323 to 746 of the family's 1478-position model. The record is from RNAcentral.